UGCCAUCUCGGGCUCUGGCUCUCUUGAGUU
Molecule: non-coding RNA, 30 nt
Filed under: Mus musculus (house mouse)
Lineage: Eukaryota; Metazoa; Chordata; Mammalia; Rodentia; Muridae
Source: RNAcentral